CUUUGGGAUAACCCUCGGAAACGGGGGCUAAUACCGGAUAUUACUUUGUGCCGCAUGGUGCUUGGUGGAAAGUUUUUCGGCUUGGGAUGGGCUCGCGGCCUAUCAGCUUGUUGGUGGGGUGAUGGCCUACCAAGGCGACGACGGGUAGCCGGCCUGAGAGGGCGACCGGCCACACUGGGACUGAGACACGGCCCAGACUCCUACGGGAGGCAGCAGUGGGGAAUAUUGCACAAUGGGCGGAAGCCUGAUGCAGCGACGCCGCGUGAGGGAUGACGGCCUUCGGGUUGUAAACCUCUUUCAGCUCCGACGAAGCGUAAGUGACGGUAGGAGCAGAAGAAGCGCCGGCCAACUACGUGCCAGCAGCCGCGGUAAGACGUAGGGCGCGAGCGUUGUCCGGAUUUAUUGGGCGUAAAGAGCUCGUAGGCGGCUUGUCGCGUCGACUGUGAAAACCCGCGGCUCAACUGCGGGCCUGCAGUCGAUACGGGCAGGCUAGAGUUCGGUAGGGGAGACUGGAAUUCCUGGUGUAGCGGUGAAAUGCGCAGAUAUCAGGAGGAACACCGGUGGCGAAGGCGGGUCUCUGGGCCGAUACUGACGCUGAGGAGCGAAAGCGUGGGGAGCGAACAGGAUUAGAUACCCUGGUAGUCCACGCUGUAAACGUUGGGCGC
Molecule: ribosomal RNA, 665 nt
Filed under: uncultured Micromonosporaceae bacterium
Lineage: Bacteria; Bacillati; Actinomycetota; Actinomycetes; Micromonosporales; Micromonosporaceae
Description: bacterial SSU rRNA
Rfam family: Bacterial small subunit ribosomal RNA
Source: RNAcentral